UGGGGAAUAUUGCACAAUGGACGGAAGUCUGAUGCAGCAACGCCGCGUGCGGGAUGACGGCCUUCGGGUUGUAAACCGCUUUUUCUCAUGACGAAGUUUUUUGACGGUAGUGGGGGAAGAAGCACCGGCUAACUACGUGCCAGCAGCCGCGGUGAUACGUAGGGUGCGAGCGUUGUCCGGAAUUAUUGGGCGUAAAGGGCUUGUAGGUGGCUGGUUGCGUCUGUCGUGAAAGCUCAUGGCUUAACUGUGGGUUUGCGGUGGGUACGGGCUGGCUUGAGUGCAGUAGGGGAGGCUGGAAUUCCUGGUGUAGCGGUGGAAUGCGCAGAUAUCAGGAGGAAUACCGGUGGCGAAGGCGGGUCUCUGGGCUGUUACUGACGCUGAGGAGCGAAAGCGUGGGGAGCGAACAGG
RNAcentral lists this ribosomal RNA (408 nucleotides) under Fusobacteriota bacterium. Its description in RNAcentral is "Fusobacteria bacterium partial 16S ribosomal RNA". It matches the Rfam family "Bacterial small subunit ribosomal RNA", at positions 355 to 776 of the family's 1533-position model. The record is from RNAcentral. Lineage: Bacteria; Fusobacteriati; Fusobacteriota.